Molecule: ribosomal RNA, 72 nt
Filed under: Sceloporus hunsakeri
Lineage: Eukaryota; Metazoa; Chordata; Lepidosauria; Squamata; Phrynosomatidae
Description: partial 16S ribosomal RNA
Source: RNAcentral
GUCCUAAAUACAAAGCUGAAUACAACUAAAGCCAAACAACACAACAUAGAACACCUCAAAAUAAGAGGCUUA